This 578-nucleotide ribosomal RNA is filed under the name uncultured Bacteroidota bacterium. RNAcentral describes it as "bacterial SSU rRNA". The stretch from base 8 to 511 matches the Rfam family "Bacterial small subunit ribosomal RNA", at positions 35 to 539 of the family's 1533-position model. The record is from RNAcentral. Lineage: Bacteria; Pseudomonadati; Bacteroidota.
UAUAACGGCUACGGCAGGCCUCCUACAGGUUAGUCGAACGGGAUUGAGGAGCUUGCUUCUCAUGAGAGUGGCGUACGGGUGCGACGCGUAUGCAACCUACCUUCAUCAGGUGGAUAGCCCGAAGAAAUUCGGAUUAACACCGCAUAAUAUUACUGGAUGGCAUCAUUCGGUGAUCAAAUAUUUAUAGGAUGAAGAUGGGCAUGCGUGUCAUUAGCUAGUUGGUGAGGUAAUGGCUCACCAAGGCGACGAUGACUAGGGGAUCUGAGAGGAUGACCCCCCACACUGGUACUGAGACACGGACCAGACUCCUACGGGAGGCAGCAGUAAGGAAUAUUGGUCAAUGGAGGCAACUCUGAACCAGCCAUGCCGCGUGCAGGAAGACUGCCCUAUGGGUUGUAAACUGCUUUUAUACGGGAAUAAACAAUCUUUCGUGACAGAUCUUGAAUGUACCGUAAGAAUAAGGAUCGGCUAACUCCGUGCCAGCAGACCGGGUAAUACGGAGGAUCCAAGCGUAAUCCGGAUAUAUAGGCGUCUCACAGGGAACCGUACGCGUGCCUAUAAAAGUAAGAGGGUUGAAA